AUGGAACCUCGGCAAGGGAUGACCACAACCGUACUAACUGAUGAUUUAGUGGUGGAGAUCUUGUCUCGGUUACCGCUGAAGUCUUUUUGCCAUUUCAAAUGUGUCUCCAAGUCUUGGCUUGUCUUCUCAUCUGAUCUGCACUACCGCCAGAAGCUCCCCAGAACUCUCGUCGGUCUCCUGUACCAAAAAAGAGAGCAUGACACUACUAUUCAUCUUGUGGGACUUCCCUCAAGUGACAGGGAUAUUGACACAACACUUGGCUUUGUACAAUGUUAUGAGCAUCCCUUAGAGCUUAAGGAUUGCAGCAAUGGACUACUUCUUUGUUAUCAAGGUGGUAUGCCCUCGAAAGAAGUCUCCGACGCCAUCGUGUGCAAUCCAGCAACUCAAGAGUGGAUGGCACUUCCAGAUACUGAACCUGGACCAGCCGUCUGUUAUGCCAGUUACAAGUUGUGUUUUGAUCCAUUGUGGUCUCAAUACUUCUAUGUCUUCAAAUUUGAGUCAAGUCCAAGUGGUGGAUAUGACAUUGUAGUUAAGGUAUUUUUCUCUGAGUAUUCGACAUGGUCUAAUUGUGUAUGGGAAACUUCAGAUAUAUUUUUUGGCGAUUCACUCUUCGUAAAUGGGGUGUUGUAUGUGCAACACUUAUGGGGACAUUACCUUCUGGCACUCGAUGCACCUGACACAUGCACAGAGUUGCUCAAUCAUAGGACCUUUCAGUUGCCAGGGUUUCCAUAUGGACCAGAACAGAGGUUUUAUUGCUUUGAUGGCUGUCUUCCAGUCAUCUGGGGUCUUAUGUUAUGCACAACAAGAAUUGGAUGGUUCCAUGAUCCGAAUUUGGAGUUUGGAAGGAUCUGA
Molecule: ribosomal RNA, 852 nt
Filed under: Triticum aestivum (bread wheat)
Lineage: Eukaryota; Viridiplantae; Streptophyta; Magnoliopsida; Poales; Poaceae
Description: partial small subunit ribosomal RNA
Source: RNAcentral